AACGAACGCUGGCGGCAUGCCUAACACAUGCAAGUCGAACGAGACCUUCGGGUCUAGUGGCGCACGGGUGCGUAACGCGUGGGAACCUGCCCUUAGGUUCGGAAUAACUCCCCGAAAGGGGUGCUAAUACCGGAUAAUGUCUUCGGACCAAAGAUUUAUCGCCUUUGGAUGGGCCCGCGUUGGAUUAGCUAGUUGGUAGGGUAAAAGCCUACCAAGGCGACGAUCCAUAGCUGGUCUGAGAGGAUGAUCAGCCACACUGGGACUGAGACACGGCCCAGACUCCUACGGGAGGCAGGAGUGGGGAAUAUUGGACAACGGGCGAAAGCAUGAUCCAGCAAGGCCGCGUGAGUGAUGAAGGCCUUAGGGUUGUAAAGCUCUUUUACCCGGGAUGAUAAUGACAGUACCGGGAGAAUAAGCUCCGGCUAACUCCGUG
This 433-nucleotide ribosomal RNA is filed under the name uncultured bacterium. Its description in RNAcentral is "partial 16S ribosomal RNA". It matches the Rfam family "Bacterial small subunit ribosomal RNA", at positions 29 to 507 of the family's 1533-position model. The record is from RNAcentral.